AUUGUGCUUAAUUUAGUUUUUUUUUUUCAUUUUAGUAAAGUUUUUUUUUUUUCACCAUAUUUUGAUUGGAAAGGCUAUUAAUAAAAUUAAAGUUCUGCGCCAUAAAAUAAAAUAAUUUGACAAUUUUAUUAUAAAGUUCAACGUUCAAGGAUGAAAGAUGAAAUAUAAUCUUAAAUUAAACUGCAUUUUCAUCAUCUGACAAUCAAAAUUAGAAAUAAAAUAUUUAAGAAACGAUAACCUACACCAAAAUACAUAAAUUACCCAAAAAGUCACAAAAUCCUUUAUACAUUCAUAAUAAUAAUUUAAUGUUCUUCCAUUUAUUUUUAGUUUAUGAUGCACUGAUCCACUCGUCAGACACCUCCUGAUAUAAAUAUGAGCAAAUGGAGCAGUAUUUUCUUGCACACUGUAGAUGUUUCUUGAUACUUUCAGCCUUCUUGUUGAUCUCAUCCUCAUUCCACUCCUCCACAUGCUUAUGCAAGUUUUUCUUGUUAGUUAAAAAUCUCCACGUUAACUUCUUGUCUUCUAGCCAAUAACAGUGACGAGUAUCAAGAUAAAUUAGAUUCUUUUGACCAUCCAAUAUAAUUGACAAUGCAUCAAUUGAUAAAGCAGAGCGGAGAACCAAACUCUUCAGUUGAGGAAAAUUUCCAGCAAUAAUAGAUGCAACAGUGUCCCCUAUUGCUCCAUCCAGGCUCAGUGCGACAAUAUUUUGACAAUAUUUGCCAAAGUUUUUCAGCAUUCCUGGCCAAUAAUGUGCAUGCUUCAAAUUUGGCCAAUAUGGCAUCAAAUUAGAGAUGGAUUCUAUGGCACCUAAAGGAAGCUCAGGUAAUAUGAAAGACUCCAAAGAAGGCAAUCUGGAAUAUCCAUCGUCAAAAAGAUCAGAAAAUAUCAAUACUCAACUCAACUCAACUCA
RNAcentral lists this unclassified non-coding RNA (910 nucleotides) under Hevea brasiliensis (rubber tree). Lineage: Eukaryota; Viridiplantae; Streptophyta; Magnoliopsida; Malpighiales; Euphorbiaceae. The record is from RNAcentral.